GGAAGGUGCGAGCGUUAAUCGGAAUCACUGGGCGUAAAGCGCGCGUAGGCGGUUAGGUAAGUCAGAUGUGAAAGCCCCGGGGCUCAACCUGGGAACUGCGUUUGAUACUGCCUGACUAGAGUGUGGUAGAGGGAAGUGGAAUUCCACAUGUAGCGGUGAAAUGCGUAGAGAUGUGGAGGAACACCAAUGGCGAAGGCAACUUCCUGGAUCAACACUGACGCUCAGGUGCGAAAGCGUGGGGAGCAAACAGGAUUAGAUACCCUGGUAGUCCACGCUGUAAACGAUGUCUACUAGCCGUUGGGAGGGUUUGCCUCUUAGUGGCGCAGCUAACGUGAUAAGUAGACCGCCUGGGGAGUACGGCCGCAAGGGUA
RNAcentral lists this ribosomal RNA (371 nucleotides) under uncultured organism. RNAcentral's name for it is "partial 16S ribosomal RNA". It matches the Rfam family "Bacterial small subunit ribosomal RNA", at positions 527 to 896 of the family's 1533-position model. The record is from RNAcentral.